This 254-nucleotide ribosomal RNA is filed under the name uncultured bacterium. RNAcentral describes it as "partial 16S ribosomal RNA". It matches the Rfam family "Bacterial small subunit ribosomal RNA", at positions 524 to 776 of the family's 1533-position model. The record is from RNAcentral.
UACGAAGGGGGCUAGCGUUGUUCGGAAUCACUGGGCGUAAAGGGCGCGUAGGCGGCGUUUUAAGUCGGGGUGAAAAGCCUGUGGCUCAACCACAGAAUUGCCUUCGAUACUGGGACGCGUUGAGUGUGGUAGAGGUUGGUGGAACUGCGAGUGUAGAGGUGAAAUUCGUAGAUAUUCGCAAGAACACCGGUGGCGAAGGCGGCCAACUGGACCAUCACUGACGCUGAGGCGCGAAAGCGUGGGGAGCAAACAGG